CACGUUGCUGAAAUGAAAAGCAGAUGGAAGAAGUUGAUAAUUAGGAAUCAUUUUGCAUCAGUAGUGUUGCUGUGAGCUGAAUCGGCACUGCCUGUGCAACAUUUGGCAAAGUAAGUGAACGCUACGUUAUAUCUUCAUUUUGAAUGAGCUAAUGGCUAACUAGCUAAUUGGCACGAGGAGCCCCCACACGUAGGCCUGCUGGCCCCCAGCAAAGGACUUGAUAUGCUGUACAAGAUACAAGAUAUCAAGAAAACCUUUGCUGGAGUCUUACAUGAAUGUGCCCACAAGAGGAACCCAACAGAACCAAUGGAUCAGGAUGAAGCAUGAUAGUCCGUGGUGUUUUGAGGGCCAAUCCGAAAGGUGAGGAAAUCUUCAAGGAGUGCAACAAGACUGAAACACUAACCGAUGCAAGGUGUAAACAGAUGGUGAACAUCCUGGUUGCAGAUAUGACGGAGCUGCAUGGGAGGGUUCCGCCAUCAUGUGUGAUGAGAAAUUACGCCCUGAGAAUUGUGACUUGUUUUCCAUACCUCAAAGAUCCAUUCUCCAAACCUGGAUAUGAUGCUUAGCUUAGCGGCAGUGGAUCAAGAGGUAGAGCAGGUCGUCCAGAAAUCGUAAGCUGUUUGGUGAGGAGUGCAGGGAGGCACUAUCUACAAUAAGACAUUCAACCGAUGAAUCCGUGGUCAAAGAAGAUGAGAGCAACUUUCCAGUAUCGACAGAAUAUGAUCCAAGCACAAGAUGUAUCAUCGUCUGUCCUCGAUGUGUUCACUCGCUUCCUUGAUGUUCCUGGAUUGAUUGACCAGGAUUUCUCAAUGAUGUUUGCUGAUGAAGUAUCUCAGAAGUUCCUGGCUAAGUGGUCAACUGUCUUCAAAGCAAAAGUCCUUGCAGACUGCAAGACUCUCCCGCAAAAGCAGAACAUUGAUGAGUUGCUGUCAGGAACUGAACCUCAACCUGAUGACAGCUGUGGCUGGGGCAGUGAUACAUCCUCCAUCCUUCUACUCCUGCAUCUGCUCCCUCUGACCUCUAGAGGCCAGGAAAAAAAACAGCAAAGAUCAGUUUGUCAAGCAGCCAACCAUCUUCUCAGACAUCUUAAGGAAGGAGCCAGUGUGACCCCCUUCCAAGACUGUUGACACAAGACAAGCAUUUCUCCUCUGCAUCAGUGAGCGAAGGUGACAUCCAGAGGUUCUACAUUAUUAUUGACCAAAAGCCGGUUCCAUGCAAGGCACAUACAUUUAUUGCAGCUUUUGAUGAACUGUUCAAAGCUCACUACGUCUUCAGUCUCUCUUAUGGUUAAAAAUGGAUAAGAGCAAAGAUUUGGGUCUGACUGCUGCCCAGUCAUGGUGUCUUCUAUGUAACACUCCACUUCUAUUUGGUGAUGGCAUUGAAAGGAAGAAUGAUCACUGGAACUUCCUCCUCCUUUUGAUGCAGAUUGUCAACAUACCUGCAGUGUUCUCCUACACCAUAACUGAUGGAAUGAUCUUUUACUUGAAACAUCUGAUAAGUGACCCCCACACUCGGUACAAAGCAUUGCUGCUGGUAAGAAGUUGAUUCCCAAGCAUACAAAACAUUGGCCUUCUUUUCCAGACGUGGUGAAUGCGUUUUUGAAGCCAAACACAAUUUUUUCAAAAGGCGUGGUUAAAAUUUUUAAAAAUCUCAGCCGUUUGUCAUGGCCUUUCACUAUGAAAAUGAUUAUUUUAGAAGAUUUGCAUUUGGCCCUACAUCAAAAACAAUCUGCAACUUGAAAGGUGGGGAGGAGCGUGGUCAGGCAUGAUGUCUGCAAGCAUCUUCCAAGUGUGUCAAGUACCAACUGGGUGAGAAGUUACGGUAUAGAGCACCAUGUUGGUGUGUUCAUAUGUACUGGAUGUAGCUUUGAUCUACCUGUGUUCAAGAAGAUCUGGGAUAUCAUAAAACACAAAGAAUGUGCUUUCAUAAUCGCCUGUAAUGUAGAAACGAUGUACUAUGAUGACCCGUUUAACGCGUACUGCAUAGAAGACCAAAUGCUUGAGUUUUCUAUCAUGUGUUUAAAUGAACUGACUCAUUUCAGACCAUUUGACAAGCAGUGCUCUAAUGACAAGUGUCAGAGAGCAAACAUACUGUAGUGCCCUGCUGUUAUUUAAGCUACUGUCUGUUGGAAAUGAAAUGUUUUUGAAUAAAAUGU
Molecule: long non-coding RNA, 2155 nt
Organism: Dunckerocampus dactyliophorus (ringed pipefish)
Lineage: Eukaryota; Metazoa; Chordata; Actinopteri; Syngnathiformes; Syngnathidae
Exons: 11
Source: RefSeq, a predicted model, not a curated record